GAUGAACGCUGGCGCGUGCCUAACACAUGCAAGUCGAACGGAAUUUACAUGAAGCCUAGCGAUUGUAAAUUUAGUGGCGGACGGGUGAGUAACGCGUGGGUAACCUGCCUUGUACUGGGGGACAACAGUUGGAAACGACUGCUAAUACCGCAUAAGCGCACAGCUUCGCAUGAAGCAGUGUGAAAAACUCCGGUGGUACAAGAUGGACCCGCGUCUGAUUAGCUGGUUGGUGAGGUAACGGGCCCACCAAGGCGACGAUCAGUAGCCGGCCUGACGAGGGUGAACGGCCACAUUGGGACUGAGACACGGCCCAAACUCCUACGGGAGGCAGCAGUGGGGAAUAUUGCACAAUGGGGGAAGCCCUGAUGCAGCAACGCCGCGUGAGUGAAGAAGUAUUUCGGUAUGUAAAGCUCUAUCAGCAGGAAAGAAAAUGACGGUACCUGACUAAGAAGCCCCGGCUAACUACGUG
Molecule: ribosomal RNA, 469 nt
Filed under: uncultured bacterium
Lineage: Bacteria
Description: bacterial SSU rRNA
Rfam family: Bacterial small subunit ribosomal RNA
Source: RNAcentral